GAUGAACGCUGGCGGCGUGCCUAAUACAUGCAAGUCGAGCGAACAGACGAGGAGCUUGCUCCUCUGACGUUAGCGGCGGACGGGUGAGUAACACGUGGAUAACCUACCUAUCAGACUGGGAUCACUUCGGGAAACCGGAGCUAAUACCGGAUAAUAUAUUGAACCGCAUGGUUCAAUAGUGAAAGACGGUUUUGCUGUCACUUAUAGAUGGAUCCGCGCCGCAUUAGCUAGUUGGUAAGGUACCGGCUUACCAAGGCUACGAUGCGUAGCCGACCUGCGAGAGUGAUCGGCCACACUGGAACUGAGACACGGUCCAGACUCCUACGGGAGGCAGCAGUAGGGAAUCUUCCGCAAUGGGCGAAAGCCUGACGGAGCAACGCCGCGUGAGUGAUGAAGGUCUUCGGAGCGUAAAACUCGGUUAUUAGGGAAGAACAAAUGUGUAAGUAACUAUGCACGUCUUGACGGUACCUAAUCAGAAAGCCACGGCUAACUACGUG
This 497-nucleotide ribosomal RNA is filed under the name uncultured bacterium. RNAcentral's name for it is "partial 16S ribosomal RNA". It matches the Rfam family "Bacterial small subunit ribosomal RNA", at positions 28 to 507 of the family's 1533-position model. The record is from RNAcentral.